AUGGCUGCCAUUGAUUUUUGUUGCUACGCUCGGCCAACCUUCUCCCCCGUCGUGGCUAGCGAGCCAUCUUCGAUUCCAACUCCGCCCAUCCCCGCGACACAUAGCGACCGCGGCGCGCCGUUGCCGGCCUCUCCUGCAGCGCAGCAGACCCCUCGGGGCGGCUGGAGGUGCUGGGAGCGCUGGGGCGCCCGUGCUAUGAUGCGCAUCAGGAGUUGCUGGACCUCUGGCGGCCGUGCUGCGAGAUGCCACAAGGUCCACCAAAGCUGCGGCGGGGCUGCGUCAGGAUGCUGGAACCGGAGACCCCCGGUGCUACUAUCGGUUGCAUCUUGGGGAAUGCAAGCUGUGGUGUGUUGCUGCUGCUACUAA
RNAcentral lists this ribosomal RNA (366 nucleotides) under Triticum aestivum (bread wheat). RNAcentral describes it as "partial small subunit ribosomal RNA". The record is from RNAcentral. Lineage: Eukaryota; Viridiplantae; Streptophyta; Magnoliopsida; Poales; Poaceae.